GGGGCUGGGGCUCAGUGGCAGAGCACUCACCUAGCAUGUGUGAGGCACUGGGUUCAAUCCUCAGCACCACCU
This 72-nucleotide transfer RNA is filed under the name Ictidomys tridecemlineatus (thirteen-lined ground squirrel). RNAcentral describes it as "Spermophilus tridecemlineatus (thirteen-lined ground squirrel) tRNA". It matches the Rfam family "tRNA". Rfam says of the family: Transfer RNA (tRNA) molecules are approximately 80 nucleotides in length. Their secondary structure includes four short double-helical elements and three loops (D, anti-codon, and T loops). Lineage: Eukaryota; Metazoa; Chordata; Mammalia; Rodentia; Sciuridae. The record is from Rfam by way of RNAcentral.